This 75-nucleotide transfer RNA is filed under the name Macrognathus aculeatus (lesser spiny eel). RNAcentral's name for it is "tRNA-Leu". It matches the Rfam family "tRNA". Rfam says of the family: Transfer RNA (tRNA) molecules are approximately 80 nucleotides in length. The record is from RNAcentral. RNAcentral also lists the same sequence under 1 other name. Lineage: Eukaryota; Metazoa; Chordata; Actinopteri; Synbranchiformes; Mastacembelidae.
GUUAAGGUGGCAGAGCCCGGUUAAUGCAAAAGACCUAAAUCCUUUACCACAGAGGUUCAAAUCCUCUCCUUAACU